UAAAGAAAGCGUAAUAGCUCACUGGUCGAGUCGGCCUGCGCGGAAGAUGUAACGGGGCUAAACCAUGCACCGAAGCUGCGGCAGCGACACUGUGUGUUGUUGGGUAGGGGAGCGUUCUGUAAGCCUGUGAAGGUGGCCUGUGAGGGUUGCUGGAGGUAUCAGAAGUGCGAAUGCUGACAUAAGUAACGAUAAAGCGGGUGAAAAGCCCGCCCGCCGGAAGACCAA
Molecule: ribosomal RNA, 225 nt
Filed under: Salmonella enterica subsp. enterica serovar Mbandaka
Lineage: Bacteria; Pseudomonadati; Pseudomonadota; Gammaproteobacteria; Enterobacterales; Enterobacteriaceae
Also listed under: 1 other name
Description: partial 23S ribosomal RNA
Rfam family: Bacterial large subunit ribosomal RNA
Source: RNAcentral